RNAcentral lists this ribosomal RNA (1506 nucleotides) under Triticum aestivum (bread wheat). Its description in RNAcentral is "partial small subunit ribosomal RNA". Lineage: Eukaryota; Viridiplantae; Streptophyta; Magnoliopsida; Poales; Poaceae. The record is from RNAcentral.
AUGUUAGCAAGACAAAGUUGGCGCUUGUUACAAUCCCCAGAUUCUCUUUGUGGUGCUGUCCUAAAAGCGAAGUACUUCCCAAACUGCUCUAUAUUGGAGGCUGUACCGCAAAAGGGUAUGUCAUAUACAUGGAGGAGUAUAUUGAGGGGACUUGAUCUGAUGAGAGAAGGUGUUAUAUGGCGAGUUGGGGAUGGUGAAUCUAUACAGGUAUGGAGAGAUCCAUGGAUACCAAGAGGAGGUACAAGGAGGCCGACCUUCGGUCGAGGUCAAGUAAUAUUGGAUAAAGUUGUAGAGCUCAUUAAUCCUACCACGGAGCAGUGGGACGCGGAGCUAGUUAACGAUUUAUUCUGUCCGGAAGAUGCAAAAGAGAUACUUGCUAUACCUCUUAGAAGUGGGAUGGAAGAUCAUGUAGCCUGGCAUUUUGAUAGCAAGGGUGUUUUUUCAGUAAAAUCUGCAUACAGACUAGGAGUUACUCUAAGAGAUGCGAGGAGCCAGGCAAAUGCGAGUUCAUCAGUAGGAACGAGUGCGGGGAGAUCACAAUGGACGAAACUUUGGUCCAUCCAAUUGCCAGCAAAAGUACGUAUUUUUCUUUGGAGACUGGCUUAUGAUAGCUUACCGACGCGUAUGAAUAUUAAAAGGAAGCAUGUAGACCUUGAUACUCGAUGUCCAGUUUGCUUGAGGCUGGAUGAAGUUGGGGGUCACAUCUUUCUCAAAUGUAAGUUUGUGAAGAGGCUAUGGAGAGCUUUGAAUCUGGAAGCCGUGAGGUUACAACUGCUAAAUUAUGGGUCUGCUCAGGCUGCUGUGGAGGCGAUUUGUUCGCUUAAAACUGAGGAGAAAAAUAUUGUUUGCGUAUUAUUAUGGGACUGGUGGAUAGCCCGCAAUAAGAUAAACGCAGGGGAACAUGCCAAAACUACGGAGGAGUUAUGUUACUUUAUUCGUAAGCACAUCGGGGAAUUUACUAGUGCAGCUGAAACUAACGUUAUAAAUCGAGAGCCAGCUCAAAAUUGGAGGUGUCCUCCUGAGAAUUUUGUGAAGAUAAAUUUUGAUGCAGCGUUCCAGGAGCAGCAGAAUGAUGGGGCGUUUGGCUACGUUGUUCGAACUAAUACAGGCGAUACAAUUGCGGCCGGUGCGGGAAAACUGAAGCAUGUGAAAAGUGCGCUACACGCUGAAGCUUUAGCAUGCAUUGCAGCCAUUGAGGGGUCUUCAGAUAUUGGUAUUCAUAGGGUGCUGCUAGAGUCUGAUUCCCAGCAGCUUGUCUACGCGCUGAAGCGGGGAGAUGCGGAUUUAUCGGAUAUUGGGGUCCUAUUCCGAGAAGCUAGGAGUUUAUGUGUUUUGGCUUUCGAAAGAUAUGAUUUUAUGCAUUGUAAACGUAGUUGUAAUGCCGUAGCUCAUGCUUUGGCGAAGUAUGGUUUUGGUUCGCCUGAAUCCUCACUAGUUUGGGGGGAACUUAUGCCAAGUUUUGUUUUAGAUUUGGUAGCCAGCGAUGUUGCUGAGCCCAGUGGUUAA